This 555-nucleotide ribosomal RNA is filed under the name uncultured fungus. Its description in RNAcentral is "SSU rRNA". It matches the Rfam family "Eukaryotic small subunit ribosomal RNA", at positions 1209 to 1785 of the family's 1831-position model. Lineage: Eukaryota; Fungi. The record is from RNAcentral.
GGAAACUCACCAGGUCCAGACAAAAUAAGGAUUGACAGAUUGAGAGGUCUUUCUUGAUCUUUUGGAUGGUGGUGCAUGACCGUUCUUAGUUGGUGGAAUGAUUUGUCUGCUUAAUUGCGAUAACGAAAGAGACCUGGGCCCUUAAAUAGCCCGGUCCGCAUUUGCGGGCCGCUGGCUUUUUAGGGGGAAUAUCGGCUCAAGCCGAUGGAAGUGCGCGGCAAUAACAGGUCUGUGAUGCCCUUAGAUGUUUUGGGCCGCACGCGCGCUACACUGACAGGGCCAGCGAGUACAUCACCUUGGCCGAGAGGUCUGGGUAAUCUUGUUAAACCCCGUCGUGCUGGGGAUAGAGCAUUGCAAUUAUUGCUCUUCAACGAGGAAAGCCUAGUAGGCACGAGUCAUCAGCUCGUGCCGAUUACGUCCCUGCCCUUUGUACACACCGCCCGUCGCUACUACCGAUUGAAUGGCUCGGUGAGGCCUUCGGACUGGCUCAGGGGAGUUGGCAACGACUCCCCAGAGCCGGAAAGUUGGUCAAACCCGGUCAUUUAGAGGAAGUAA